AGAGCGAACGCUGGCGGCAUGCUUAACACAUGCAAGUCGCACGGUUUGGGGGCAACUCCAGGCAGUGGCGGACGGGUGAGUAACGCGUAGGCAUCUAUCCAAGGGUGGGGGACAACCACGGGAAACUGUGGCUAAUACCGCAUGACGACUUUGGCCGAGAGGUUGAGGUCCAAAGGCCGUGAGGUCGCCUAUGGAGGAGCCUGCGUCCGAUUAGCUUGUUGGUGGGGUAAAGCCUACCAAGGCGACGAUCGGUAGCUGGUCUGAGAGGAUGAUCAGCCACAUUGGGACUGAGACACGGCCAAACUCCUACGGGAGGCAGCAGUGGGGAAUCUUGCGCAAUGGCCGAAAGGCUGACGCAGCGACGCCGCGUGUGGGAGGACGCCCUUCGGGUGUAAACCACUGUUGCCGGGACGAACAUCCACUUUCGAGUGGACUGACGGUACCGGGUGAGGAGCACCGGCUAACUCCGCGCCAGCAGCCGCGGU
RNAcentral lists this ribosomal RNA (485 nucleotides) under uncultured bacterium. RNAcentral describes it as "SSU rRNA". It matches the Rfam family "Bacterial small subunit ribosomal RNA", at positions 26 to 521 of the family's 1533-position model. The record is from RNAcentral.